RNAcentral lists this ribosomal RNA (896 nucleotides) under Desmognathus ochrophaeus (Allegheny mountain salamander). RNAcentral's name for it is "partial large subunit ribosomal RNA". It matches the Rfam family "Bacterial large subunit ribosomal RNA", at positions 958 to 2527 of the family's 2925-position model. The record is from RNAcentral. Lineage: Eukaryota; Metazoa; Chordata; Amphibia; Caudata; Plethodontidae.
GUAUUAUAAAAACAAAUGCUUUUAUUAUAAUUAAUUGAGGUACAGCCCAAUUAAUAAAGGAAACAACCUAAAUAAAUAAAUAAAGAUUAUAAUAUAUUUAAGAAAAUUAACGCUGUUGGCUUAAAAGCAGCCACCAUAAAUUGCGUCAAAGCUUAAUUUAAAUAAAACUUACUAUUAUAAUAAAUAAUCUAAAUUUAUUUUGAAAAUCAAGUAAAUCUAUAUUAUAGAUAAAUUACUACUAGAAUAAGUAACAAGGAAGGAAACCUCUGUAUGUGUGUGUAAAUCAAAAUGAACCCAUCAUUGAUAAUUAACAAACAAAUUUACAAAAAUAUUAAUAUAAAUGUUAAUCCAACACAGGAACAUUAAAAAAGAUUUAAAAUUUAAAAAGGAACUCGGCAAAACAAUGAGCUUCGCCUGUUUACCAAAAACAUCGCCUCUUGAAGUAAUAAUAUAAGAGGUACUGCCUGCCCAGUGACAAUCGUUUAACGGCCGCGGUAUUAUGACCGUGCAAAGGUAGCGUAAUCACUUGUCUAUUAAAUAUAGACCAGUAUGAAUGGCAAAACGAGAGCUCAACUGUCUCUUUAAAUUAAUCAGUGAAAUUGAUCUUUCCGUGCAGAAGCGGAAAUAUAAUUAUAAGACGAGAAGACCCUAUGGAGCUUCAAACCUAAACUAAUUAUACUUUAUGUAACUAUAACAAUAAUUUAGUACUCGGUUUUAGGUUGGGGUGACCACGGGAUAAAAUUUAACUCCCGAGAUGAAAAAAUUAAGAAAUACAUUUCAAAAUAAUAAUAUCAUUAACAUAAUUGAUCCUUAUUUGAUCAACGAAACAAGUUACCCUAGGGAUAACAGCGCAAUCCUCUCAAAAAGUCCAUAUCGACGAGAGGGUUUACGACCUC